This 485-nucleotide ribosomal RNA is filed under the name uncultured bacterium. RNAcentral's name for it is "bacterial SSU rRNA". It matches the Rfam family "Bacterial small subunit ribosomal RNA", at positions 30 to 508 of the family's 1533-position model. The record is from RNAcentral.
AUUGAACGCUGGCGGCAGGCCUAACACAUGCAAGUCGAGCGGUAGAGAGAAGCUUGCUUCUCUUGAGAGCGGCGGACGGGUGAGUAAUGCCUAGGAAUCUGCCUGGUAGUGGGGGAUAACGUUCGGAAACGGACGCUAAUACCGCAUACGUCCUACGGGAGAAAGCAGGGGACCUUCGGGCCUUGCGCUAUCAGAUGAGCCUAGGUCGGAUUAGCUAGUUGGUGAGGUAAUGGCUCACCAAGGCGACGAUCCGUAACUGGUCUGAGAGGAUGAUCAGUCACACUGGAACUGAGACACGGUCCAGACUCCUACGGGAGGCAGCAGUGGGGAAUAUUGGACAAUGGGCGAAAGCCUGAUCCAGCCAUGCCGCGUGUGUGAAGAAGGUCUUCGGAUUGUAAAGCACUUUAAGUUGGGAGGAAGGGCAUUAACCUAAUACGUUAGUGUUUUAACGUUACCGACAGAAUAAGCACCGGCUAACUCUGUGC